This 497-nucleotide ribosomal RNA is filed under the name uncultured bacterium. Its description in RNAcentral is "partial 16S ribosomal RNA". It matches the Rfam family "Bacterial small subunit ribosomal RNA", at positions 28 to 507 of the family's 1533-position model. The record is from RNAcentral.
GACGAACGCUGGCGGCGUGCCUAAUACAUGCAAGUAGAACGCUGAAGAGAGGAGCUUACUCUUCUUGGAUGAGUUGCGAACGGGUGAGUAACGCGUAGGUAACCUGCCUUGUAGCGGGGGAUAACUAUUGGAAACGAUAGCUAAUACCGCAUAACAAUGGAUGACACAUGUCAUUUAUUUGAGAGGGGCAAUUGCUCCACUACAAGAUGGACCUGCGUUGUAUUAGCUAGUAGGUGAGGUAAUGGCUCACCUAGGCGACGAUACAUAGCCGACCUGAGAGGGUGAUCGGCCACACUGGGACUGAGACACGGCCCAGACUCCUACGGGAGGCAGCAGUAGGGAAUCUUCGGCAAUGGGGGCAACCCUGACCGAGCAACGCCGCGUGAGUGAAGAAGGUUUUCGGAUCGUAAAGCUCUGUUGUAAGUCAAGAACGGGUGUGAGAGUGGAAAGUUCACACUGUGACGGUAGCUUACCAGAAAGGGACGGCUAACUACGUG